UACAGAGGGUGGUAGCGUUGUCCGGAAUUAUUGGGCGUAAAGAGCUCGUAGGCGGUCUGUCGCGUCUGCUGUGAAAACUCAGGGCUUAACCCUGAGCUUGCAGUGGGUACGGGCAGACUAGAGUGCGGUAGGGGAGACUGGAAUUCCCGGUGUAGCGGUGAAAUGCGUAGAUAUCAGGAGGAACACCGGUGGCGAAGGCGGUUCUCUGGGCAUUACCUGACGCUGAGGAGCGAAAGCAUGGGGAGCGAACAGG
RNAcentral lists this ribosomal RNA (253 nucleotides) under uncultured bacterium. RNAcentral describes it as "partial 16S ribosomal RNA". It matches the Rfam family "Bacterial small subunit ribosomal RNA", at positions 524 to 776 of the family's 1533-position model. The record is from RNAcentral.